UCUGGAUCAGUUGGAUGUGUGUUGAUUUCCCAAUGGGCCGUGAAGAUGUUGCUGAGAAGAUGCAUGGACGUGGAGAACCUGGUGCUGCAGCGUGGACGUUUGGGGUGCAGCGUGUGUAGGUGAAGAUUGUUGAAAUUACUAUUGCCACCACAUGCUACAGCCCAAGAAGAGGUGAACGUGUUGCAUCCUCCAAGCUGCUGGGCGAAAUUUCUCUCUCUUUUUUUAUUGCCAAUUCCCACCAGCAUUUCAAUGUGACGUGCAAC
RNAcentral lists this long non-coding RNA (263 nucleotides) under Vigna radiata. Its description in RNAcentral is "long non-coding RNA (VRAD_LNC015205)". The record is from RNAcentral. Lineage: Eukaryota; Viridiplantae; Streptophyta; Magnoliopsida; Fabales; Fabaceae.